This is an RNA transcript of Tripterygium wilfordii, 1142 nucleotides long. It is a transcript of the gene named PRA1 family protein D, with no coding region annotated. Lineage: Eukaryota; Viridiplantae; Streptophyta; Magnoliopsida; Celastrales; Celastraceae. The transcript has 2 exons. The record is from RefSeq and is a predicted model, not a curated record.
UCCUAAAAUCCGAUUUGUCUCUCUGUUUCUCCCUCUCUCCUCUCUGAGAAUUGUUUCUUGUUGUUGACUCGAUGUCGAGCAAUCCGGGUUUCUUCUCUCGCGUCAAGGAGGCCACCCAGUCUCUCGCUGCUGGCCGUCGUCCGUGGAGUGAAUUCCUGGACCUGACCUCACUCAACCUUCCCUCUUCCGUCUCCGACGCCACAACCCGAAUCACCCAAAACCUCACCCACUUCCGUGUCAAUUACACCCUAAUCGUCGUCCUGAUUCUCUUCCUGAGCAUCCUCUUCUACCACCCUCUAGCGAUCUUGCCCUUCGUGAUCGUCUUCUUGGGUUGGCUCUUCCUCUACUGCUUGCGCGAUGAUUCUGAUCCUUUCGUUGUCUUUAAUUGCAACGUUGACGAUUCCGUUGUGUUCUCUGUGCUUGUCGCGGUCUCGAUUUUUACUGUUUUCUUCACCCACACUUGGGCCAAUGUGGCGGCCGCGGUUGUAAUUGAUCUCGCUUUGGUGGUUUUGCAUGCUGUGUUGCGGAGUACGGACGAUCUUGUUAUGGAGGAUUUUGUGUCUCCAUAUGGGGACUUGACUGAUAGUCCGCGAGGAUCUUAUGCCGGUAUUUGAUUACGUGUCUCGAAGGUACUUCUGUAAAUCAUUUACGUAGCUGAGAACUCUUGGAACGAAAGAAGAAGUCCCUUUAUGUUCAGUAGAUUAGUGAUGCUUUUGUUAUCUGGUCGUGGAGGAAAUUCUUGUAGGUGUAUGGUCCUUUGCCUCACUCUCGCCAUUUCCACCACCAUAACCACCUCCCUCCUCCCUAACCAGCCUGCUCACCCUCUGAGGAUCCAACGCAAACCGGGUUCCUUGUGCCGUGGACUGGUCAAACUUCACUGCCUGCGGUGGGUGUCCUGCAGAUGAGGUUUGUGAUGAAAAUGUUUUCUUAGAAGGGCUUGAUGCCUUCAUGCCUGAAAUGUUGCAUUAGAGGUUUUUUUUUUUUUUGUUAUGAGAAUAACAUGUGUUCUCGUACAAUACACAUGUGCUUAGGUGGCUUACUUCUGUUGGCUAGAGUCGGUUAACUGUUCUGUUAAUAUGUGCUUAGGUGGCUAACUUUCAUUAGCUAGAGUCGGUGCUUAUAUAUGGUAUAUUAGCUAGUUA